Molecule: long non-coding RNA, 4451 nt
Organism: Nematostella vectensis (starlet sea anemone)
Lineage: Eukaryota; Metazoa; Cnidaria; Anthozoa; Actiniaria; Edwardsiidae
Exons: 2
Source: RefSeq, a predicted model, not a curated record
AUAGGGAAUCAGUGAGAUUGAACAGGUCUAAAAAUGGGUCGCCCUAGUAUGGCUAAGACAAGGAGUUGUAAUUCUCGCGAACAGUAAGCAAGUCUUGGAAUGACUCUUUGUAUGAUGCCGAAGGCCGCAAUAUCGGAGACUUGCACUAUUGUGCUCAAUUUGCCGACACUCGUCGAGUGCCGCUAAGUGGAUGCAAUCAGAGUGAACCAGGGCACGCCUCGGCAAUACAGUCAUUAAUGCACUGAAUGGUCUAACGAUGCGAUAAGGUGGCACGCAUCGGCAAUACAGUCAUUAAUGCACUGAAUGGUCUAACGAUGCGAUAAGGGCUCUGCUUUUGGUUUAGUUUGGCCUUAUUCAGAUAUAACCACGAGAUAAAGCCCCAAAAACUAAGUACCAACAAUGACUAGUCAAAUUCAAUCGUUCAAAUACCAAAAGAUCUCAAUGGCUUUUUUGCUGACUCGACUAGAAUGACUAGAAGUUAGGAUGGCCAAGACGUCUGACAACAAAACAAGUGCUAAAUUCUUUUGCUCUGAUGAAAGACGCUUGAUACUUCAGCGAAACGACUUUCUCAGAGAGGCGUACAACAUAUAACUCAUCCAAUGAGUCUAGGUUCUUUUUACCAAACCCUGACUCGAUUUAUCUCCAAACGUCUCAAGAUUUUUGCUCCGAUAGGCUAACAUUCAAAAAUACAUUAAAAAACUUUACCCCCGCAUAGAUUUAUUUGCCCACGAGUUCGUAGGCGGUAACUCGGGUUGUUGUUCUAAUAUCUUAUGCAAAGCAUACUCAUUAUAAAAGGGGCAAGUCCCUCAUUUAUCGCAUUAUGAUCUCAGAGUAGAAGCAUCCUAACUAAGGGUGUGUGACGGUGAAGCGUGUUUUGAAUUCCUGCGUGAGACCACCUUGAUUGUGUUACUGCAAUAGCCGUAUUAUCACAUGUCCUUUGGAUAUUCAAUAGAUUCGAGGUCGGCUCGGCGUUGAGCGUUAGCGGGGUAAAUAUGAACAUAGGCAGUCAUAUGGAUAUAGUUCGCUUUUGAAUGUGAGCAUUCGUAAAACAAGUCGGACAAGUUGAGCCCUUGAAUGACGGUAUGAAAUGUGAAAGUAUACGUCGAGUAUAUCACAACUUGGUAAUUAUGGGCGUCAUCGUUCAUGUGUGUGCUUUUUAUUAGCUACGGAAAAACUUUCGAGUUUGAUUCCGCCGAAAACCCUCACCACUUUAUAGAUAAACCCACGGCAACAGACGGUAAAAAAAAGGACGGACCACUAGAAAUUGGAUGGGGUGCGGGUUUCUGGUGGCGUCGAAAAUUUCAUGGGUGAGUUUGCGCAAGAUAUAUAUAUUUCGUGAGUAUGCGUGCAUUGGUCUGCUUGUUAUUAUUAACUUUUUUCUGGUAAUCCUGCACCCCCCAUUGCGCUAUUGUAACAUUGACGUCAUAGGCACGUCUUGGCGGCACAGUUAUUCGCAGGUUGCAUGCAACGAUAACAUGUCCUUUAGUGAACGUCGCUAAGCAGAGGACUAGCACUAGCUUGUAUGAGCGUUUUUAUACGGCUCUAAUAAUAAGAAAAUGCGAAUUGCUCCAUUGUGCCAAAGUGCCUAAUUUCAAGUAACUUCCAAACGUUGUACUCACUUCAAAAAUGUCUUUUAUAAGAUUUAAUUUUGAUUGACUGGAAGAAUAGAUUCUAUCUAAACGUCAUAAAGUAUAAUUUCGUAUCCAGAUACAUCUACUUGAUGAAAGAUGACCACGACAAACAAGUACUUUGCAGUAUGAUUCCACGUUAAAACCAGGAUGCCCAUUUUGAUUAUUUCAUACAGUGCCUUUGAACUUAUUAAAAAAAAAAUGCAAAUUUUAACGGUGAUUGGUGCAGUUUGGGGGGUGGUAAGGGUGGGGCGUGGUCGCAGUAGACAACUCACCAUCAACACCCUGUCCCCAAUCUUCAGGUUGGUUGUUGCGGCAACACCGGUCGGUACGAUCUGGAAAUGAAAGAAAAUCAUUUGGUGAAUGACUGGACAGACUAUGUGGAUGACAAAAGUAGCUUUAGUGGGAGGGGUACUUUAAGUCUAACAACAAGUGAUUUUGUACGCUUGUAUGAGAGAAUUCAGCCGCCAGCGAUCCGGGGAAAUUGAUCGCUAGUAUCGGGCGAAUCCGCCGCCGCGGCUCACAGAUCUGGUGAUUGAACUUCUCUCGUACGAGGGUACAAAAUCGCCAAGUGUUACGUAGCCUUUAGUCUAUAGCUCGCACGUGUUCCAUGACUAGUCAGGUGAAAAAAUACUGCAAAUAAAUACACUACUUAAGUCCUUCUGAAUUUUCCAUUUUUUUGGGUUGCUGUUUAACUUCAGGGUGAUGAGGCAAUUAGCGUUAACUUUAAUUAAGCGGGUAAUAAACGCUUUCCCGGAUAAAUGUUAACUGCAGAUAUACCAGAAAAACACACUCUAAACGGAAUUUUUGAAGUGAGAACUUUGAAUCUAAAAACUAUAAACGCGUUCAAUUAUAACUAGUAGCAAACUCAAAGGGAAGGGAUCUUUGUGUCAUGUUUUCACAAGGCAUAAAGAGUUAGAUAUCUAAAGAUCCUCCUAGCAAAAUUAAAGGGAACGGAUCUUUGUGUCAUGUUUUUACAAGGCCCAAGGAGUUAGGUAUCUAUAGAUCCCUGUAGCAAACUCAAAGGGAACGGAUCUUUAUGCCAUGUUUUCACAAGGCCUAAGGAGUUUGAUGUUUAAACACCUCCGUGGCAAACCGACCGAUGAACACAUGAAUGUACUUGUUUUGCUUGUUUUUCUUGCUAUUGUUGGAAAUGAUCAAAUUGCCCCAACCAGUUAGUUAACAACAAAGAAAGAAAACAACGCGAUCCCACACAGCGACAAAGCACACGUGUAGCAUCUUUUACGCGAAGCUGACAAAAGAAACAAUAAUUUAGCAUACAAGACAUUUCGUUACACAAAGGUUCCCCUUCUUAAAGAAAAGCAGUAGCGGGGAUCACUUCUAUAACAAGAGCUUACUCCAAGUCAGAAAAGGUAUCUGGAAAGUUAAACAAGAAAAUAAAAAAGAAGAUAUAAAAGAAAAAAAGUAUUCCUUUUCUGUUAUGGUCGAAACAAUGACUGCUCAUUGUUUGCUAUCCCUUUAUCCUGAUAUUUUCACUAUUUGGUAUACUUAAUUAUUUUUUAGACUCAGUUGGAUAUCGGUGGCUUGGCCAACACAUUUCCAAAACAAAGUUCGAGCCGCGCACGAAAUGAUUAUAUACUUUUACCUGGAAAUAUAGGAAACCAUAAGUUCACAAAGAAAUGUCAAAAGUAUUUAUCUGCACAUUCUAACGUACCAUCAUAUUUUUUUGGAAAUAAAAACGUAAGAGAUAGGAGGCAACUUCGGUCAAGGGAUAUAACACACAAGAUGAAAUUAGACGAAUAAUCUUUGAUGAAAAAAAGAUAAUGGACUUUUCGUAGGUUUCACGAUGCACGAGUCGAUAAGCUGUUCUUGAAGAUAAAUGAAAGACUUCUUAAAACGCGACUGAGGACGAGGUCCAGGCGUACGUGACGCGUCCUGUGUGUUGUUUACGACUUGAUGAGUAGAGAUAACUUCCACAUCAACAUUCAAGACAGCAUUGAAUUAAAUUGAAAUCUUAAAAGCUUGAAACUUGUGCUAGAGUACUUACAAACAGGUUUUUGGGGAGAGUUGUAUCUGCAUUUAAAUUUGUUGUUAAAUUUGUUUUUUCUAAGAAUGCAUUGAUUGAGGUUGCUGGAGGGUCUAUCUAAUCAUCAAAGCAGAUAUCAAAACACUUUCAACAGCUGAAAGCAAUGUAUAAGCAUUGAGACGUGGUUUGGGCUAGAAAAGGUUUUGUUUGGUUUUGUAUUUUACGAGUAAUUCACGAAACACAUCACACAAACAACAAGCACUUCCUGAAAGUCGCGCGCCCGAAACUACCAUUGUUAAUCUUGUCUGGCGCCUAAAAGCAAACUAAAUUUACUAAUACAGAUGCAUUACCUCACUUCGACAAACAUCAGUAGCCACUUUAACCUUACACAGGUUCUCAUUUUUGUCUUGAACCACGCAGAAAAACAUGUUGGUUUGAAAGCCUCAGUCGGCUCGCCAUUCAAGGUUUGCCUAACGGAGCACUGAGUGAUUUGCAUGUGAAUGCUAACCCAAUACCCGACGUGACAACGGCCUGACAAGUAUGGAUUAACGGUUUGAAUUAUUCUCGUGAAAUAAGGCGCAUGUUUGACUGUAACUGGCUAGAGUAGGACAAGUCAGUGUGAUAAGAACUUAGGCUUAAUUUCCGUCCUUUGUGUAAAAGUGUUGGCUAUUGUGAAGGACACAAAUGAUCCGGAGCUGACAUGGUCCACUGGCCAGGAUGACAAAGUCAGGAUUUAGUUUGGAAUUACUGGUAUUCAGAAAUGUUUUAUUGCGAUUCUAAGCUGCUUCUCAGCACGGAAAAUAAUGCAAAAUAAAAUAAAAACCUAUCCAAAAACC